This 105-nucleotide microRNA precursor is filed under the name Canis lupus familiaris (dog). RNAcentral describes it as "mir-8834 microRNA precursor family". It matches the Rfam family "mir-8834 microRNA precursor family". The record is from Rfam by way of RNAcentral. RNAcentral also lists the same sequence under 1 other name. Lineage: Eukaryota; Metazoa; Chordata; Mammalia; Carnivora; Canidae.
AGGAGCAACAGCCCUAGUGGCGGGGCCAGCUCUGGAAACCUGGAUUCAGCUCCGGUAGGAACUCCGGAGGUCUCCGUCUGCAGGGCCUGGAGGCUCCGGGGCGGG